AGCGGCGAACGGGUGAGUAACACGUAGGUGAUCUGCCCAUCAGACGGGGACAACGAUUGGAAACGAUCGCUAAUACCGGAUAGGACGAAAGUUUAAAGGUGCUUCUGGCACCGCUGAUGGAUGAGCCUGCGGCGCAUUAGCUAGUUGGUAGGGUAAAGGCCUACCAAGGCGACGAUGCGUAGCCGACCUGAGAGGGUGAACGGCCACACUGGGACUGAGACACGGCCCAGACUCCUACGGGAGGCAGCAGUAGGGAAUCUUCGGCAAUGGGCGAAAGCCUGACCGAGCAACGCCGCGUGAAUGAUGAAGGCCUUCGGGUUGUAAAAUUCUGUUAUAAGGGAAGAACGACUUUAGUAGGAAAUGGCUAGAGUGUGACGGUACCUUAUGAGAAAGCUACGGCUAACUACGUGCCAGCAGCCGCGGUAAUACGUAGGUGGCGAGCGUUAUCCGGAAUUAUUGGGCGUAAAGGGCGCGCAGGUGGUUGAUUAAGUCUGAUGUGAAAGCCCACGGCUUAACCGUGGAGGGUCAUUGGAAACCGGUCGACUUGAGUGCAGAAGAGGGAAGUGGAAUUCCAUGUGUAGCGGUGAAAUGCGUAGAGAUAUGGAGGAACACCAGUGGCGAAAGCGGCUUCCUGGUCUGUAACUGACACUGAGCGCGAAAGCGUGGGAGCAAACAGAUUAGAUACCCUGGUAGUUCACGCGUAACGAUGAGUGCUAAGUGU
This 721-nucleotide ribosomal RNA is filed under the name uncultured bacterium. RNAcentral's name for it is "bacterial SSU rRNA". It matches the Rfam family "Bacterial small subunit ribosomal RNA", at positions 94 to 823 of the family's 1533-position model. The record is from RNAcentral.